RNAcentral lists this ribosomal RNA (559 nucleotides) under uncultured bacterium. RNAcentral describes it as "partial 16S ribosomal RNA". It matches the Rfam family "Bacterial small subunit ribosomal RNA", at positions 355 to 907 of the family's 1533-position model. The record is from RNAcentral.
UGGGGAAUUUUGGACAAUGGGGGAAACCCUGAUCCAGCCAUCCCGCGUGUGCGAUGAAGGCCUUCGGGUUGUAAAGCACUUUUGGCAGGAAAGAAACGUCGCGGGUUAAUACCCCGCGAAACUGACGGUACCUGCAGAAUAAGCACCGGCUAACUACGUGCCAGCAGCCGCGGUAAUACGUAGGGUGCAAGCGUUAAUCGGAAUUACUGGGCGUAAAGCGUGCGCAGGCGGUUCGGAAAGAAAGAUGUGAAAUCCCAGAGCUUAACUUUGGAACUGCAUUUUUAACUACCGGGCUAGAGUGUGUCAGAGGGAGGCGGAAUUCCGCGUGUAGCAGUGAAAUGCGUAGAUAUGCGGAGGAACACCGAUGGCGAAGGCAGCCUCCUGGGAUAACACUGACGCUCAUGCACGAAAGCGUGGGGAGCAAACAGGAUUAGAUACCCUGGUAGUCCACGCCCUAAACGAUGUCAACUAGCUGUUGGGGCCUUCGGGCCUUGGUAGCGCAGCUAACGCGUGAAGUUGACCGCCUGGGGAGUACGGUCGCAAGAUUAAAACUCAAAGG